RNAcentral lists this ribosomal RNA (765 nucleotides) under Staphylococcus aureus. RNAcentral describes it as "bacterial SSU rRNA". It matches the Rfam family "Bacterial small subunit ribosomal RNA", at positions 28 to 776 of the family's 1533-position model. The record is from RNAcentral. Lineage: Bacteria; Bacillati; Bacillota; Bacilli; Caryophanales; Staphylococcaceae.
GAUGAACGCUGGCGGCGUGCCUAAUACAUGCAAGUCGAGCGAACGGAUGAGAAGCUUGCUUCUCUGAUGUUAGCGGCGGACGGGUGAGUAACACGUGGAUAACCUACCUAUAAGACUGGGAUAACUUCGGGAAACCGGAGCUAAUACCGGAUAAUAUUUUGAACCGCAUGGUUCAAAAGUGAAAGACGGUCUUGCUGUCACUUAUAGAUGGAUCCGCGCUGCAUUAGCUAGUUGGUAAGGUAACGGCUUACCAAGGCAACGAUGCAUAGCCGACCUGAGAGGGUGAUCGGCCACACUGGAACUGAGACACGGUCCAGACUCCUACGGGAGGCAGCAGUAGGGAAUCUUCCGCAAUGGGCGAAAGCCUGACGGAGCAACGCCGCGUGAGUGAUGAAGGUCUUCGGAUCGUAAAACUCUGUUAUUAGGGAAGAACAUAUGUGUAAGUAACUGUGCACAUCUUGACGGUACCUAAUCAGAAAGCCACGGCUAACUACGUGCCAGCAGCCGCGGUAAUACGUAGGUGGCAAGCGUUAUCCGGAAUUAUUGGGCGUAAAGCGCGCGUAGGCGGUUUUUAAGUCUGAUGUGAAAGCCCACGGCUCAACCGUGGAGGGUCAUUGGAAACUGGAAAACUUGGGUGCAGAAGAGGAAAGUGGAAUUCCAUGUGUAGCGGUGAAAUGCGCAGAGAUAUGGAGGAACACCAGUGGCGAAGGCGACUUUCUGGUCUGUAACUGACGCUGAUGUGCGAAAGCGUGGGGAUCAAACAGG